Molecule: microRNA precursor, 104 nt
Filed under: Oreochromis niloticus (Nile tilapia)
Lineage: Eukaryota; Metazoa; Chordata; Actinopteri; Cichliformes; Cichlidae
Also listed under: 5 other names
Description: mir-454 microRNA precursor family
Rfam family: mir-454 microRNA precursor family
Source: Rfam by way of RNAcentral
GGUGUGUCACCUUGCAGACAAGCCCCUAUCAGUAUUGCCUCUGCUUUCACUAGAGUUAACAGAGUAGUGCAAUAUUGCUUAUAGGGUCUUGGCUUUGAGGGAUG